Molecule: long non-coding RNA, 594 nt
Organism: Zingiber officinale
Lineage: Eukaryota; Viridiplantae; Streptophyta; Magnoliopsida; Zingiberales; Zingiberaceae
Exons: 4
Source: RefSeq, a predicted model, not a curated record
CCCGUGCCCUCUCCUUGCCCUAACCAGCGCCGCAACAACCGCCGCACGCCGCGAUUAAAGCCUUCUCCUAUCCCUCUGUUUCCUUUCCUGUCUUCCCGACGUGAGCUUCUCUCCUCCCCCUCUACUGAUCUCUUCCUCCUCGCCGAGCGACGGCGUCGAUCGCUACCUCAGCCGACGACACUCCUUCCACAUUGCCUAGCGCCGGUGCCAUGCCAAACAGCCGCUGUCCGUGAGCCCUAGCCCCGGCCAACCCGCGACUCCCUCACCCUUCCGAGACACUAUCGGCCACAAGAACCCUAGCGUCGAUCGCCUUUCCUUUGCGAUGUUUUUGUCCUAGAUCGCCGUCGACUCCCUGUUCUUGCGUUGUGCCCUAAAUCCGAGUCAAUAAGUGAUUCCGGCCGUGAGGAGAAGACAGACUUGCAGUGGGCUUGUUUUAGUUCUAGCAGUGAGACAACCCUUCUUCGGUAGUAACAACGGUUGUGAAUUUAGCCACUGGAUCCGGCUGUAACCUUUUCUAGCAGUGGGUAAGUACAGAUUUAGGACUUUGAUGAGAGACGAGCAUCUCGAUGUCGGAUUUGGACAUUCCUAUUGGAG